CCUACGGGCGGCUGCAGUGGGGAAUAUUGGACAAUGGGCGAAAGCCUGAUCCAGCCAUGCCGCGUGUGUGAAGAAGGCCUUCGGGUUGUAAAGCACUUUCAGUGGGGAAGAAAGCCUUGGGGCUAAUACCCUCGAGGAAGGACAUCACCCACAGAAGAAGCACCGGCUAACUCCGUACCAGCAGCCGCGGUAAUACGGAGGGUGCGAGCGUUAAUCGGAAUUACUGGGCGUAAAGCGCGCGUAGGCGGUCUGAUAAGCCGGUUGUGAAAGCCCCGGGCUCAACCUGGGAACGGCAUCCGGAACUGUCAGGCUAGAGUGCAGGAGAGGAAGGUAGAAUUCCCGGUGUAGCGGUGAAAUGCGUAGAGAUCGGGAGGAAUACCAGUGGCGAAGGCGGCCUUCUGGACUGACACUGACGCUGAGGUGCGAAAGCGUGGGUAGCAAACAGGAUUAGAUACCCUAGUAGUC
Molecule: ribosomal RNA, 465 nt
Filed under: Vreelandella stevensii
Lineage: Bacteria; Pseudomonadati; Pseudomonadota; Gammaproteobacteria; Oceanospirillales; Halomonadaceae
Description: partial 16S ribosomal RNA
Rfam family: Bacterial small subunit ribosomal RNA
Source: RNAcentral